CGUGAGUGUCCGCGUCAGCCGGCGCGACGCGACCCGACGUGGGCAGGGAGCCCAAGACGCCCGAGGGACUAAAAGACGGGCCUCUUCUCCGGCCUCAACGAUUGGCGAACGGCUCCGGAGGUUGCUGCGCCUGCGCCGAGCUCGCCGAGCGGCCCUCUGGGGCCGAGGCUGUUUUUUAUCGGGGAAAUCCGCACUGCUUAGUACGCCUGCGCCGUGCCCGCAGCCUCCGGCGACCCCUAGGUACCGGGAGGUCGCUGGGUAAGUGUAGUCGGCCGGCGCGUCCUCGCCGGGAGUACUGGCGACGAGUGGAAUAAGGGAAGGAAAGUCAGGGGAUUGAGAGAAUUUGGAAUUGAAAAUAAAUUUGGAUUAAAAAACAAUAGGAACUUUAGGAAGAGAGGCAAAAGCCAGAAGACUACAUAGAACCAUUAGAGAAAGAGAACUGUUUGGAAAAGUAAAGACUCGGACUCAGAGUCGCAAUGGCCUGAUGCAGGAAUACUCCUAGCAAGACACAGCCAACAAAGCAGAUCUUUCUUCUGCAGAAGACUGAAUCUGAAAAAGCCAUCAUGCUGGAUAUAAUUGAAAAGAAAAGCAAGUCAAAGAGCAUGACUUAAGUUUCUGCUACAAACCAGGCAAACACUAAAUUGUUCUGACAGAAGCUACCCUCUGCAAUGUCACCUGCAGGAAAUAGGGCUGGAAACAUAUCCCCAAAGAUCCCUAGAAUAGUAAGCCUGAAGUCAUCACCAUUUGCUUAUGAGCCCCUUCUACCUGGACUGGGGAUUUCUUUUCUUUUUUAAUUAAUUGUUUUAUUUUGUCUGGCCAUAUGUGUAUAUUAACUUUUUUAAAUACACAUUUCUUCAUGUAUCAUGUUGGGAGAGAAAAAUCAGAACAAAAGGGAAAAACCAUGGAAAAGAAGGAAAAAAAAAACAGAAAAAAGAAGUGAAUAUAGUGUAUGUGAGUUUACAUUUAAUCUCUAUAGUUCUAUUUCUCACACAUGGCAUUUUCUAUCCAGAGUUUAUUGGGACUGCCUGGACUCGGGAUUUCUUGCAGGAAUAAUGUGAAAAUUGAAACUGUCAUGACCUGGUGUAUUGGGCAAUAUAUAGUAUAGUGACCAUUAUUUAUACUUGCAUAAGAAGAAACAUGGGGGAAAUACUUUGCCAACCAAUGCAAGGACAAGUACUUGGCAGAUUGAUAGACAAGGACCAUUUAUCCACAAUUGGCUUCUAGAGGUUUUCCAUGACCAUACCUUGGUAUAUUCAAACCCAGCAUCCAUCUGUAGUGUCAGACCCAAUUCUACUCUAUUCAGAAUAUGAAUGGGAGACUUAAGCAUCAAGCUGGGACUUAAUACCUGAACAUCUUGACCAUCCAUACAGCUUGUGCACAAAAAGUGAAAGAAUCAAUAGAAGGAAUUCAGUUAAAGGUUAGUCAUGUUUUUAUGGGAGAUAUGCCUGGGAAUAUCUCACAGAAUUUCUUACCUUUGUUGUGAGUGAUUUAGGUGCAGUUAUUCUGUGCACGAACUGGAGUUUUUGGUUUUGAAGUAAGCUAUCCCUUCAGGGACAUUUCUAAAAGAACAAACUUAAAUAUCCAUCAUAGAGUAAUAGACAUAGAACUGAAAGAACACUAAAAGUCUUUUAACAUAACCCUCCUCAUUUUAUAGAUAAAGAAACUAAAUCCCAAAAGGAUAAAGUGAUUUCCCAAAAUCACACAGGAAGUCAACAUCCGAGUUGGAAUUUGGACCCAGAUCCUCUUAACUUCAGAGAUCUGAAAAUAAAGCGUGUCCUUUUCAGUAACUUUUAGAGGCACAUAUCUUCCAAGAAAUUUAGUAAUACAAACAUUUUAAAAAGAUUUUAGUCAUUUAAUAAUUUGUAUUAUAACUGACACCAACAGAAGUAAACAGAACAUGGAAAAGAAUUCUGAAUAAAACAAUAGAAUCUAUAUUAUUUAUGUUUGUGUUAAAAUAAUAUCCAGGGCCAUCUCCAGUCACCUUCAUCUAUAUCUUGCCACUAGACCCAGAUGGCUUUGAAGGGGAAAGUAAAGCAGGUGUUGAAAUAUCAGUUUAAUUGCCUCUUCUGGCCAUUUAUGUAUUUAUCUUUUAUGAUUUAUCAUUAAUAAUAUUUAAUAUCAAUACAAUAAAUUAAACUUGCUUUAAAAAAGCUAUAUUUAAUUUCCAUUGUGGAACAGCUACAAUCCAAUGAUUUGGUCUCUGUUUUGACUAUUGCUAAAUUUGAUACUGCCUGCAGUCACAUGGAAGUAGAGUUGAGUUUGAAACUCCUGCCAGAUAAAAUGUCAACAACUUAUGUAAACCUUGUUUCAUUGAAUCCUAUUUGUUCGAUUUUUCUCUCCCCCUUACCAGCAAGGAUAGAUAACUGAUGAAAGUCUGGGAGGAAUGAUUAAAGCCUAGAUACAAGAAAAUAAACCUCAAAAUUUAUUCUCUAUAGGGCAGCUAAUGCUGAGGCAAUGACAUAAGUUGGAGUAUUGGAACUGAGAACACACAUGAAUGAAUAAAAAGCAUGUAUUAAGUAUUAUAUUCUAAGCACUUUGCUAAGUAGAAAUAGAAAUGGAAGCAGAAAAAAGGAUUGAUUCUGCUCCCACUACUAAUGGAAGAGAAAACAGGUAAUAGUAAGUUCAACCUAGUUAACUUCAACUGCUCAAGGCUAGAACAAGCUAUGGAAGGGGGUGUUUGCCCAGCACAUACUACUUAGCACUCACAGGUCCCCAGUGUUCAUACUAUUCAUUAUAUUGUGAGCCCCUGGAGGGCAGGGACUAGCUUGGCUUUCUUAGCACAGUGCCUGGAAGAGAAAUAAGCCUUUAUAUGUGCUGAGCUCUUUUUACAAAUAUUUGACCCUCAAUCCUAUAGUAGGUGCUAUUUUACAGUUGAAGGAACUGAGACAAGUGAAGUGACAUGGAGAUUCACACAACUGGAUUUGAACUUGGGUCUUCCUGACUCCAGGCCCAAUUCUCUAUUCGCCAUACCAUCACCUGCCUCACAGUGACUGGCAUGUGCCCAGCACCUAGUAGACACAAAAAUAUAUGUUUACUGAUUGACAUAAAGGCUGGUUUUAAUGUAGUCAAAAUGAAUGAAUUUUAUUUUUUUUAUUUAAUAGCCUUUUAUUUACAGGUUAUAUGUAUGGGUAACUUUACAGCAUUGAUAAUUGCCACACCUCUUGUUCCAAUUUUUCCCCUCUUUCUCCCCACCCCCUCCCCCAGAUGGCAGAAUUACCAGUAGAUGUUAAAUAUAUUAAAAUAUAAAUUAGAUACACAAUAAGUAUACAUGACCAAACCGUUAAAAUGAGUGACUUUUAAAAAAAAAAGUUUUACUCACAAAGAAUUUGAGAUAUCUAUUAUAUGAGACUUCCCACAUCACUUAGCAUUUUUCCUAUUUAAAUCGUCUCUUAAAAAGCAGAAUUAUUAAAGAGAGUUGUAAACUGACUUUAGGUAAGGCUGAAGAUAUUAUUCAGCUAGAGGGUCACAGGGUCAGAACCUCAGGCUAGUGCAACCUUAAUCCAGCCUUAAAUGUAGCCACUUAUUUGCUACAAUUAUAUUCACAAAUGUGGCUAGUUUUGAAGCACCAAAAGAUACUUUGUUGCUUUGGGAAGGGGUAGGGGAAUAGGGAACAAAACAGACUUAGCAAUAAGCUAAGUAACAUUUUAAUAACUUGGAGACCAAAAGGAAGUAGGGAUUUCUUUUUGUCCUUCAUUUCCCCUUCUCCAUUUUGUUUCUGCUUAGUGUCUAGACUCCCAUGAAGCCCUAGAGGUAAUUCUGGAAAUGGAAAGUUGAAUGUCUCAAAAGCAUAUUGUUCUGUGGCUAUGAAGGUUAUUCCAUGACUUUGGACAAAAGGGGUCAAGGGAAUGCUAGAACUAAUAAGUAACUUAGAGCUUGACUUGAAAAAAAAAAAUAAAGCUAUGACUUCACUUUAGAAAAGUUCAGACAAAAAAACAUGAGGCUCUCAGUGUUCAAAAACUGUAACAAGGUAGCAAGUUUCUCUGCUAAUGGAAGUGAUCCAUUCUUGGAAUCUUUAGUGUUCACAAAACAAUUGAAAUAGCAAAAUAAUGAAAAGCCCCUUCAUAAUAAGGAGGUGUGAACCUGCAUGGACUUGUCUAGUAAAAGAACAAUAAUCCCAGAGAACUUGGGGGACUUUAUAGUGACAUUUCACCUCAAACACCUGUUUGCCAGAGGAAAGUUAUUCAGCUUCCCUUGUGAUCAGGAGGUAUGGGCUGCCAGCAAGGCUAUAAAAAGAAAGGAUUGACCAUUUGAGGCAGGUGAUAAUAAUUCAGAAGGCAAUGUUUUAAGAUGACAUUGCUUUUAUAAGCCACCAGCUAUGCCUUGGACUGAGGCCAGUUCUUACAUGUGUUCUGCUCUCUAUUUUUACGUGGUUUUCUAUUAGGUUCACAUGUGUUUCUAUAGCUUGCUACCCCUUCAUUGCGGUUUGUUUGUUUUUGCUAAUUCACACCUAUUUGCUUAUGUACUAUUACUGUAUUGAUAUGAUAAUGCUUCUCAUAAUUUAGGUCUGUCAAGUGAUGGUUUUCUCUGCUUCAAGGAAUUUUAAUAUGGGUAGAUGUUACAAAAAUAUGGGGUGUGGAUGGAUGUAUAAAUGUAGUAUAGUUACCAGUGAAAAGAUAAUUAUUCUGGAUGAAUUGACUGUUAAGGAUAUGAGAUUUAGCUUUAAGUUCUGACUGAAACUAUGACCUUAGGCAGAUCGUUUUAUUUAUCACUGUCAAGAGUACCAUCAGCUUCUAGGAAUCCAGGAUCACCACCGAGAUGUCAUCCUCAAGUCCUCACACAGCUACGAUCCAGUGACACAAGCCUUGCUGUUCCUUGCACAAGCCAUUCCAUCUUCAGACCAUGCAUUUUCAUUGGCUGUCCCUUUUGUCCAGAAUGUUCUCCCCCUUCAUCUCUAAUUCCAGGGUUCAAGUUUCAGCUAAAAUCUCACCUUCCACAACAAUCUUUUUCCCAAUCCCCUUUAAUUCUAGUACCUUUUCUUUGCAAUUCUAGUUUAUCCUGUGUAUGUGUGUGUAUUUGCAUAUAAUUUGUGUUUUCCUGAUUAAAUUGUGAGCGUAUUGAGGUCAGAGACUGGUUUUGA
RNAcentral lists this long non-coding RNA (5077 nucleotides) under Sarcophilus harrisii (Tasmanian devil). RNAcentral's name for it is "lncRNA (ENSSHAG00000028545.1)". The record is from RNAcentral. Lineage: Eukaryota; Metazoa; Chordata; Mammalia; Dasyuromorphia; Dasyuridae.